RNAcentral lists this ribosomal RNA (510 nucleotides) under uncultured bacterium. Its description in RNAcentral is "partial 16S ribosomal RNA". It matches the Rfam family "Bacterial small subunit ribosomal RNA", at positions 28 to 507 of the family's 1533-position model. The record is from RNAcentral.
GACGAACGCUGGCGGCGUGCUUAACACAUGCAAGUCGAACGAAGAGCGAUGGAAGCUUGCUUCUAUCAAUCUUAGUGGCGAACGGGUGAGUAACGCGUAAUCAACCUGCCCUUCAGAGGGGGACAACAGUUGGAAACGACUGCUAAUACCGCAUACGAUCUAACCUCGGCAUCGAGGAUAGAUGAAAGGUGGCCUCUACAUGUAAGCUAUCACUGAAGGAGGGGAUUGCGUCUGAUUAGCUAGUUGGAGGGGUAACGGCCCACCAAGGCGAUGAUCAGUAGCCGGUCUGAGAGGAUGAACGGCCACAUUGGGACUGAGACACGGCCCAGACUCCUACGGGAGGCAGCAGUGGGGAAUCUUCCGCAAUGGACGAAAGUCUGACGGAGCAACGCCGCGUGAGUGAUGACGGCCUUCGGGUCGUAAAGCUCUGUUAAUCGGGACGAAAGGCCUUCUUGCGAAUAGUUAGAAGGAUUGACGGUACCGGAAUAGAAAGCCACGGCUAACUACGUG